AUUGAACGCUGGCGGCAGGCCUAACACAUGCAAGUCGAGCGGAUGAAGGGAGCUUGCUCCUGGAUACAGCGGCGGACGGGUGAGUAAUGCCUAGGAAUCUGCCUGGUAGUGGGGGAUAACGUCCGGAAACGGGCGCUAAUACCGCAUACGUCCUGAGGGAGAAAGUGGGGGAUCUUCGGACCUCACGCUAUCAGAUGAGCCUAGGUCGGAUUAGCUAGUUGGUGGGGUAAAGGCCUACCAAGGCGACGAUCCGUAACUUGUCUGAGAGGAUGAUCAGUCACACUGGAACUGAGACACGGUCCAGACUCCUACGGGAGGCAGCAGUGGGGAAUAUUGGACAAUGGGCGAAAGCCUGAUCCAGCCAUGCCGCGUGUGUGAAGAAGGUCUUCGGAUUGUAAAGCACUUUAAGUUGGGAGGAAGGGCAGUAAGUUAAUACCUUGCUGUUUUGACGUUACCAACAGAAUAAGCACCGGCUAACUUCGUG
This 484-nucleotide ribosomal RNA is filed under the name uncultured bacterium. RNAcentral describes it as "partial 16S ribosomal RNA". It matches the Rfam family "Bacterial small subunit ribosomal RNA", at positions 30 to 507 of the family's 1533-position model. The record is from RNAcentral.